CGCUCUUCGCAAAGUAUUCUAAUGUAUGAAGAGUCCUGCCUGCCCAGUGACUUUUAGUUAAACGGCCGCGGUAUCUUGACCGUGCAAAGGUAGCAUAAUCAUUUGCCUCUUAAAUAGGGGCUGGUAUGAAUGGCAAGACGGGGUUUGACUGUCUCUUCUUUGAUGAGUUUAAUUUAAUUUUCUUGUGAAGAAGCAAGGAUGUAGUCGUAGGACGAGAAGACCCUGUCGAGCUUGAACAAAAAAUGAGUGUAGGCGUUGAAAAUAUUCUUUUGCUAAUUUACCCCAGAGGGGAAAGGAUUUCUACUUUAGAUAUUGGUACGUUGUGUGCUUUAUGUUUUGAUUGGGGCAAUCACGGAGAAGAAGUACCCUCCGUUAUAGAAAAAUUAAUGUUGUAAAGAAACUUCUUUAGGAUGUAUAAAUACAUAUUUAUGAUCCACAGGUUGAGUGAGUAAAGGAAUAAGUUACCGCAGGGAUAACAGCGUAAUUUUUUUGGAGAGUUCAUAUUGAUAAGAAAGUUUGCGACCUCGAUGUUGGAUCGGGAUUUCCAGGAGAUGCAGCAGUUUCCAAGGGUUGGUCUGUUCGACCAUUAAAAUCCU
RNAcentral lists this ribosomal RNA (596 nucleotides) under Rosaster mimicus. RNAcentral's name for it is "partial 16S ribosomal RNA". It matches the Rfam family "Bacterial large subunit ribosomal RNA", at positions 1816 to 2597 of the family's 2925-position model. Lineage: Eukaryota; Metazoa; Echinodermata; Asteroidea; Valvatida; Goniasteridae. The record is from RNAcentral.